Molecule: ribosomal RNA, 460 nt
Filed under: Nocardiaceae bacterium 'ARUP UnID 444'
Lineage: Bacteria; Bacillati; Actinomycetota; Actinomycetes; Mycobacteriales; Nocardiaceae
Description: bacterial SSU rRNA
Rfam family: Bacterial small subunit ribosomal RNA
Source: RNAcentral
GGACGAACGCUGGCGGCGUGCUUAACACAUGCAAGUCGAGCGGUAAGGCCCUUCGGGGUACACGAGCGGCGAACGGGUGAGUAACACGUGGGUGAUCUGCCUCGCACUUCGGGAUAAGCCUGGGAAACUGGGUCUAAUACCGGAUAUGACUUCCAGCUGCAUGGUUGGUGGUGGAAAGAUUUAUCGGUGCGAGAUGGGCCCGCGGCCUAUCAGCUUGUUGGUGGGGUAAUGGCCUACCAAGGCGACGACGGGUAGCCGGCCUGAGAGGGCGACCGGCCACACUGGGACUGAGACACGGCCCAGACUCCUACGGGAGGCAGCAGUGGGGAAUAUUGCACAAUGGGCGAAAGCCUGAUGCAGCGACGCCGCGUGAGGGAUGACGGCCUUCGGGUUGUAAACCUCUUUCGACAGGGACGAAGCGCAAGUGACGGUACCUGUAGAAGAAGCACCGGCCAACUAC